RNAcentral lists this ribosomal RNA (551 nucleotides) under uncultured bacterium. RNAcentral's name for it is "bacterial SSU rRNA". It matches the Rfam family "Bacterial small subunit ribosomal RNA", at positions 355 to 896 of the family's 1533-position model. The record is from RNAcentral.
UAGGGAAUCUUCGGCAAUGGGGGGAACCCUGACCGAGCAACGCCGCGUGAGUGAAGAAGGUUUUCGGAUCGUAAAGCUCUGUUGUUAAGGAAGAACGAGUGUGAGAAUGGAAAGUUCAUACUGUGACGGUACUUAACCAGAAAGUCACGGCUAACUACGUGCCAGCAGCCGCGGUAAUACGUAGGUGGCAAGCGUUAUCCGGAUUUAUUGGGCGUAAAGAGAGUGCAGGCGGUUUUCUAAGUCUGAUGUGAAAGCCUUCGGCUUAACCGGAGAAGUGCAUCGGAAACUGGAUAACUUGAGUGCAGAAGAGGGUAGUGGAACUCCAUGUGUAGCGGUGGAAUGCGUAGAUAUAUGGAAGAACACCAGUGGCGAAGGCGGCUACCUGGUCUGCAACUGACGCUGAGACUCGAAGGCAUGGGUAGCGAACAGGAUUAGAUACCCUGGUAGUCCAUGCCGUAAACGAUGAGUGCUAGGUGUUGGAGGGUUUCCGCCCUUCAGUGCCGGAGCUAACGCAUUAAGCACUCCGCCUGGGGAGUACGACCGCAAGGUUG